GUCUUCCGUGACUGCCUGCCUGAACUCUGUUAAGGCUACAGCCUGAUAAGGAUACCAAUUUAGAGGCUUAGCCCAGGGCUAUGAGGUCUGCAACCAGACGGUCUUCAGAACAUCUAUCAUCAUCGGUCAUCUGAUGUGGCGUUGGGGGGAGUAAGACUCAAGUCUUUCCUGGUUGCCUUUGAAGAUGGAGAAUUCUCGGCUCCUUCUCCAGCACCAUGUCUGCCUGCAUCCUGCCAUGAUGAUAAUGGACUGAAGCUCUAAACAUGUAAGCCAGCCCCAAUGAAAUGUUGUCCAUUAUAAGAGUUACCUCGGUUACAGUGUCUCUUCACAAUAAUGAAACCCAAACUAAGACAUGGCAGCUAGUGAGAUAAGAGACCCAA
Long non-coding RNA from Mus musculus (house mouse), 380 nucleotides. RefSeq annotates it as predicted gene, 51586. The record is from RefSeq and is a predicted model, not a curated record. Lineage: Eukaryota; Metazoa; Chordata; Mammalia; Rodentia; Muridae. The transcript has 3 exons.